UGGGGUAUAUUGGACAAUGGGCGCAAGCCUGAUCCAGCCAUGCCGCGUGAGUGAUGAAGGCCCUAGGGUUGUAAAGCUCUUUCACCGGUGAAGAUAAUGACGGUAACCGGAGAAGAAGCCCCGGCUAACUUCGUGCCAGCAGCCGCGGUAAUACGAAGGGGGCUAGCGUUGUUCGGAUUUACUGGGCGUAAAGCGCACGUAGGCGGACUAUUAAGUCAGGGGUGAAAUCCCGGGGCUCAACCCCGGAACUGCCUUUGAUACUGGUAGUCUUGAGUUCGAGAGAGGUGGGUGGAAUUCCGAGUGUAGAGGUGAAAUUCGUAGAUAUUCGAAGGAACACCAGUGGCAAAGGCGGCUCACUGGCUCGAUACUAACGCUGAGGUGCGAAAGCGUGGGGAGCAAACAGG
Molecule: ribosomal RNA, 404 nt
Filed under: Actinomycetes bacterium
Lineage: Bacteria; Bacillati; Actinomycetota; Actinomycetes
Description: Actinobacteria bacterium partial 16S ribosomal RNA
Rfam family: Bacterial small subunit ribosomal RNA
Source: RNAcentral